AACGAACGCUGGCGGCAGGCUUAACACAUGCAAGUCGAACGCACCUUUCGGGGUGAGUGGCAGACGGGUGAGUAACGCGUGGGAAUCUACCCUUCUCUACGGGAUAGCUCCGGGAAACUGGAAUUAAUACCGUAUACGUCCUGAGGGAGAAAGAUUUAUCGGGGAAGGAUGAGCCCGCGUUGGAUUAGCUAGUUGGUGGGGUAAAGGCCUACCAAGGCGACGAUCCAUAGCUGGUCUAAGAGGAUGAUCAGCCACAUUGGGACUGCGACACGGCCCAAACUCCUACGGAAGGGAGCAGUAGAGAAUAUUAGACAAUGGGCGCAGGCCUGAUCCAGCCAUGCGGCGUGAGUGAUGAAGGCCCUAGGAUUGUAAAGCUCUUUCAGUGGGGACGAUAAUGACGGUACCCACAGAAGAAGCCCCGGCUAACUACGUG
RNAcentral lists this ribosomal RNA (433 nucleotides) under uncultured bacterium. RNAcentral describes it as "partial 16S ribosomal RNA". It matches the Rfam family "Bacterial small subunit ribosomal RNA", at positions 29 to 507 of the family's 1533-position model. The record is from RNAcentral.